Molecule: ribosomal RNA, 471 nt
Filed under: uncultured bacterium
Lineage: Bacteria
Description: bacterial SSU rRNA
Rfam family: Bacterial small subunit ribosomal RNA
Source: RNAcentral
ACUCCUACGGGAGGCAGCAGUGGGGAAUAUUGCACAAUGGGCGCAAGCCUGAUGCAGCCAUGCCGCGUGUGUGAAGAAGGCCUUCGGGUUGUAAAGCACUUUUCAGUUGUGAGGAAGGUGGUGUCGUUAAUAGCGGCAUCAUUUGACGUUAGCAACAGAAGAAGCACCGGCUAACUCCGUGCCAGCAGCCGCGGUAAUACGGAGGGUGCGAGCGUUAAUCGGAAUUACUGGGCGUAAAGCGCAUGCAGGUGGUUUGUUAAGUCAGAUGUGAAAGCCCGGGGCUCAACCUCGGAACUGCAUUUGAAACUGGCAGACUAGAGUACUGUAGAGGGGGGUAGAAUUUCAGGUGUAGCGGUGAAAUGCGUAGAGAUCUGAAGGAAUACCAGUGGCGAAGGCGGCCCCCUAGGACAAAGACUGACGCUCAGAUGCGAAAGCUGGGGAGCAAACAGGAUUAGAUACCCUGGUAGCACA